CGCCUGGGGAGUGCGGCCGCAAGGUUAAAACUCAAAUGAAUUGGCGGGGGCCCGCACAAGCGGUGGAGCAUGUGGUUUAAUUCGACGCAACGCGAAGAACCUUACCUGGCCUUGACAUCCAGAGAACUUUCCAGAGAUGGAUUGGUGCCUUCGGGAACUCUGAGACAGGUGCUGCAUGGCCGUCGUCAGCUCGUGUCGUGAGAUGUUGGGUUAAGUCCCGUAACGAGCGCAACCCCUAUCCCUGGUUGCUAGCAGGUAAUGCUGAGAACUCCAGGGAGACUGCCGGUGACAAACCGGAGGAAGGUGGGGAUGACGUCAGGUCAUCAUGGCCCUUACGGCCAGGGCUACACACGUGCUACAAUGGCGCGUACAGAGGGCUGCCAACUCGCGAGAGUGAGCCAAUCCCUUAAAACGCGUCGUAGUCCGGAUCGGAGUCUGCAACUCGACUCCGUGAAGUCGGAAUCGCUAGUAAUCGCGAAUCAGAAUGUCGCGGUGAAUACGUUCCCGGGCCUUGUACACACCGCCCGUCACACCAUGGGAGUGGAUUGCACCAGAAGUAGUUAGUCUAACCUUCGGGAGGACGAUUACCACGGUGUGGUUCAUGACUGGGGUGAAGUCGUAACAAGGUAACCGUA
Molecule: ribosomal RNA, 635 nt
Filed under: uncultured Marinobacter sp.
Lineage: Bacteria; Pseudomonadati; Pseudomonadota; Gammaproteobacteria; Pseudomonadales; Marinobacteraceae
Description: bacterial SSU rRNA
Rfam family: Bacterial small subunit ribosomal RNA
Source: RNAcentral